This 253-nucleotide ribosomal RNA is filed under the name uncultured bacterium. RNAcentral's name for it is "partial 16S ribosomal RNA". It matches the Rfam family "Bacterial small subunit ribosomal RNA", at positions 524 to 776 of the family's 1533-position model. The record is from RNAcentral.
GACGUAAGGCGCGAGCGUUGUCCGGAUUUAUUGGGCGUAAAGAGCUCGUAGGCGGUCUGUCGCGUCGGAUGUGAAAGCCCGGGGCUUAACCCCGGGUCUGCAUUCGAUACGGGCAGACUAGAGUGUGGUAGGGGAGAUCGGAAUUCCUGGUGUAGCGGUGAAAUGCGCAGAUAUCAGGAGGAACACCGGUGGCGAAGGCGGAUCUCUGGGCCAUUACUGACGCUGAGGAGCGAAAGCGUGGGGAGCGAACAGG